GAGAGGAGGUUGCCCAUUGCUUCUCUGAGGGUGCUUUGGUGGCACCCAAGUCAGGCUGGAGUGGUGGCUUUGGAGCAGCAGGAUAAGGGUUGCUUGAUGUCCAGUUGGUGUUUGGUGGUACAGUGGCUCUAAUAGUAGUCACAGUGGGGACAGUCCUGGCCACUCCUGCCAAGCAAUCAAAGCUGAAGGAGGUGGAGGUGAUGGUGGGACUGAGCAGUGGAGAGGCACCAGAGACCAUCUGCAGAGAGCAUGGGGUUGUCUGUGCAGUCAGCAGUGAACACCAUGAUUGGCCCGGUGGAGAUGGUGAUUUCUGGCUUCCUUUCUAGCAUGAGAUCAUUUGUUGGAUCCCCACCAAGAAAUCAGCACGCCCUCCUGCAAACGGCUCAACCCUGCUGAGGGCAUCUGUGCUGAUUAUUACUGGAGAUGAGCCUCCAAGAAUGCCGAUGGGCUGAUUCUACAGAGAAUCAGAGCCUGGCCACUUGUGGGUGGAUGGGAGAGUAAAUAAAAGGAUGAAGAACUUGGUCAGUCAA
This is a long non-coding RNA of Pezoporus occidentalis (night parrot), 530 nucleotides long. RefSeq lists it as uncharacterized. The transcript is spliced from 2 exons. The record is from RefSeq and is a predicted model, not a curated record. NCBI's taxonomy places the organism in Eukaryota, Metazoa, Chordata, Aves, Psittaciformes, Psittacidae.